RNAcentral lists this ribosomal RNA (858 nucleotides) under Allogalathea inermis. RNAcentral describes it as "partial 16S ribosomal RNA". The stretch from base 735 to 858 matches the Rfam family "Bacterial large subunit ribosomal RNA", at positions 2473 to 2597 of the family's 2925-position model. Lineage: Eukaryota; Metazoa; Arthropoda; Malacostraca; Decapoda; Galatheidae. The record is from RNAcentral.
GGCAGAUAUAGGGUUUGAUAUUUGGUCUAAGAAUAUAAGGGUGGAGCUUUAUUAUUCAAUAAUGGGUAAAAUAUAAGUUAAUAAGUAUAUAUUUUAAUAAUUAGGUUUUUUAGUGGCCAUAUUUUUAAAGUGUUUUAACUAAUAUAGUUGGAUAAUUUAUUUAUUAGACUUUAUUUAUUUAAUAAUAUGUUUUUAUAAUAGAUGAAUAUUAGUAAUAAUGAAAAUAUUAGUAGAAUAGGUAUUAUAAGAAGGAAAGAAAAAUAUUAAGGGGAAAAUAUAAUUUGAUAAAAAAAGAAUAGAGGAACUCGGCAAAUAAGGUCCUUGCCUGUUUAACAAAAACAUGUCUCUAUGAAGUUAUAUGAAGUCUGACCUGCCCGUUGAAAUUUAUUGAAAGGCCGCGGUAUAUUAACUGUGCAAAGGUAGCAUAAUUAGUAGUUUUUUAAUUGAAGGCUUGUAUGAAGGGUUGGACAAAGGAUAAGCUGUCUUUAUUUUUGUAUUUGAAUUUGUCUUUUAAGUGAAAAGACUUAAAUAAAUUUAAGGGACGAUAAGACCCUAUAAAUCUUUAUAUUAGUUUAAUUUUAUGUUAAAUUUUAAUGUUUAAAAGGGUAAAUUUAUGUAGUAUUAUAUUGGGGUGAUAGGAAUAAUAAAUUAACUGUUCAAAAGUGAAACAAAGAUAUUUGAAUAAAUAUUAUAGAAGAUCCUUGAUGGAGAUUGAAAGUUUAAGUUACUUUAGGGAUAACAGCGUUAUUUUUUUUGAGAGUUCUAAUCGAAAAAAAAGUUUGCGACCUCGAUGUUGAAUUAAAAUUUCUUUGUGGUGUAGCAGUUAUAAAAGAGAGUCUGUUCGACUUUUAAAAUUUU